GCACAGGCCGGCCCUCUCGCGGGACUCAGUUUCCCCGUCUGCGCGCCCCACAUAUUCGCUUUCCGCAGGUUCUCUCGCUGAGAUUCGCGUCCUUCAAACUAAUGGAACUUUGCAAGGGGGCCCUGCGGCGGCUUCGCGUGGGAGCGCCGGGGAAAGUUCCUGCAAAUCGCCGGACUGGGGGCCCGCCCGGGAAGCUCGGACUGGGCCGGGCAGGGACUGCAGGGGCCUCUGCGCAGACCCGGGGCGUUGCGGCACCGCGGACCCCGGUCACGCGCUGGUUCUGCCCCCGGUACCCCGCACGCGGGACCCUGACCGCGGGGCCUCUGCGGCCGGACGAAGGCAGCGUCCGCGGAGCUGGCAGAAAGCCCGCGCCCAGACCCACAGUGAAGUGAUAAAAGCAGAGAGCAGAAAGGAGAAAACUGAGGGCCAGAAAGGGUGACUCCCCUGAGUGUCAUGCCACAAGUUGAGUGCUGGAGCCAGGACACCUUCCAAACCGGCUGUGCCUGCCUGCAAGCCCCAUCCUCCUCCAUCCCCCUGAGCAGCCAGACUGCAGAGGGAAUGAGCGGACCGAAAACAGUGUGGCCGCAACUUCCCCACUGCUUUGCGGGAGGUGGAGGGAGUUUCUAGGCUCUUUCCCUGUUGGGGAAUUAAGUAGCUGGGGAUCCCACUGAGUCUCCACCACCCUCUCACCCAUUUUCCACCCCUCCCCCACCACAUAUACAUUCUGCUCCCCCAGUGCCAAAUAACUUGCAUUUUCUGGAACACACCUGUCUGCUUACGGUCUCUGUGCCUUUCUUUGCCCACAUCUCCCCUCUUCUUGAAACACCCCUCCUCCCCUCCAGCGUGGGCUCAUGUGACCUAGAGAAGCACGUGGGAGCCCUGUCAUCUGGGGGACUUGGGUUCAAAUCCCACUUCUGGUCCUUAAGUCUGUGACUCUGGGCCUUUGUUUAAUAACUGGAGGAGUUUCAUUAGGAAAAUGGCAGUGACCACAUAUGUCCCUGGAGUGACUGAUGUGCCACCCACAAGCUUCUAUUUGGUCAGUGCUGGGUCCCAUCGUCCCAUCUAGCAUGCUCCUCUUCCAUCCUCGUGCCCCCACUCAGUGCCAUUGUCUCUGCCUCUCACCCUCUGUGCUGCUAUUCCUGCCCUCAUCACCUCCUCCCUAGGGCAGAGGCCCCGUCUUCUUUACCAUGCCCCAGUGCCAGCACAGUGCUUUGGCAAGUUAUUCAGCACUGGGGGAGUAGAGUGUAUGUGUGGUGGGGGAGGGGGUGGAGAAUGGGUAAGAGGGUGAUGGAGACUCAGGGGGACCCCCAGCUACUUAAUACCCCUGAGGAAGUGUCGGCCGAAGUGGACCCACUCCUGUGACAGUUCACAGCCUAGAAGAGGCGUCUGUAACCACGGUGACCAGCACCGGUUAUGAAGAAGACAAGCAGCUCUACAGAGGGGCCUCAAGAAAUCCUUCGAAACAGAAAUCAAAGUCUUGCUGGAAGGGUUCUGGGCACCCUGGACUGUCCACAUGGGAGGCUGUUGGUGCGUGUGCCUACGUGUGUCCAUCAGUGGAUGCACGAAGAAGGAAAUGAAUUGAUUCCAUUCUUGAUGUGACUUUCAGCUGUCAGCUGUCUGCACUCCCAGACGGGGUGAUGGCCUGGCACCAACGGAGCAUUACCCUGAUGAAUCAUGGUCGAGGUACUUUUCCACUGGGCCAGCCGCCACAGCCCCUUCUCCAUCCUUCGGAGAGCUCUGUCACCUCGCCUUGUAGCACUUGUGUCUCUCCCACUGGCCUCCACUUCUUGUGGGCACUUUCUGGAUGCCCAGGCCUAAUCCAGCGCUGGCACUCAGUUAAUUCUCUCUUCCUUUAAAGGGAACAAUUACCACCUUGAGGAAGGAGGCCUGAAAGCUAAGUCUUUGCUAUUGCAUCCGCCUUCUUCUCACGAAGACCUGCAGCUUGAAAGGAGGGGAGGGAGAAAUAGCCCUAAGCUCCAGGAAGACCAAGCCCAGCCUCUGUGAUGAUUCCGAGGAAAUUCAGGAAAUCCUUGCUAAUGGCCAAACUUCCCGGGUUUGAGAUGCAAAAGGAAAUCAGAUCGCAGGGUAAUGCUUUUACACUAAGCAAGAAAUUGCAGGAUAUAAAGCUGUGCAGACCAUUGCCUCUGAUUAAGAAAGCGAUUCUGAGAUUCCAGCCUGGAAGGAACCGGGCCCCAGUGUUAACUGUGGUUAAUUCUGGGUGGAGGGGUGAUGGGUGAUAAUUUCUCCUUUUUCUUUUCUGUACUAACCAUUAAUACUGGGGGGAUGGGCAGUUAAAAAUCAAAGGAAGAAAACAUAAAGAAAGCCAAAUCCUUUUCCAUCUGUAGCCAUUCAAGCUACUGCCUGGACACGCUCUCCUUGAAGCUGGGGCUCCUCUCUCAGCCCCACCUAACAUGGCCCACCUCCUUCCUGGGGUCACUCCGUGUUCCUCAAGCACUUCAAACUCAUCCUCUCCUGCCUCUGAGCUGAGCAUAUGGGCCUCUCCCCUUCCUUUAAAAGCUCCAUCCGUGACUGCCUUCUGGGGGUCAGCCACAUAGCUGAGUGAGGACCACAUGCUUCACACCAAAUGAUACAAGAAGCUUGUUCCAAAUCUAUGUGGGUUUUUUGACAUUUUAGAGAGCAGAUGCUUUCCCAUGCUUUCUAAUUCCCUAUUACAUCUAUACAUCUCUUUUAAAAGAUCCUGCAAGUCCUUUUAGUGUCUGGACACAGGUUAUUCCCUCCCUUUCUUUUUUCCCAAUUUCACCUGCCCCAGUCCUCCUGGUCAGUGCUUCUGUUUCCUGCACAAGGAAACAGCCUUGCAAACAUGGUGAACCCUGAAAGCAUGCUGGAAAUGAAAGAAGCCAGGUACAAAAGACAACAUACUAUAUGAUUUCAUUCACAAGAAAUGUGUGUAACAGAAAAAUUUACAGAGACAGAAAAUAAAUUCCUAGUUGCUUAGGGCUGGGAGAGUGGGGUGAGGCCUCUCUACAGAGAUGGCAAUGCCCAGGAUUCAAUCUGAAGAUGUUGUUUAGAUAUCACAGCAUAGUCGGACAAUAGUGAGGACAGUCUGGCAUUGGCGUACAGAUGAACAAAUAGAUUUGUGCAAUAGAAGAAGCCAAACCAGAUUCCAGCCUACCUCCAGUCACCUGAUUUAACAAAGUCAAAGUCACAAAUCAAUAGGGAGAGGAUGGUCUUUUCAGUAAAUGAUACCGUAUCAAUUGACUCGUCAUAUACAGAACAAAAUGAACUUUGGUCCCAUACACACACAAGUCAUAAAAGUUCACUCAAAGUGAAUGAUAGACCUACAUUUGAAAACAAAAGCAAUGCAGGAUCCAGGAGAAAGGGUCCAGGCAGGAGAAUAUUUUUAUGACCUUGGACUAAGCAAGAGAUUCAUAAACAGGACACAAAACCACUAACCACCAAAAAAAAGGACUGAUAAACAUGACAAUUAAAAUGAAGAAUUUAU
Molecule: long non-coding RNA, 3463 nt
Filed under: Homo sapiens (human)
Lineage: Eukaryota; Metazoa; Chordata; Mammalia; Primates; Hominidae
Description: HSALNT0360402
Source: RNAcentral